This is a long non-coding RNA of Oncorhynchus tshawytscha (Chinook salmon), 1977 nucleotides long. The record is from Ensembl. Lineage: Eukaryota; Metazoa; Chordata; Actinopteri; Salmoniformes; Salmonidae.
CGAAGAGGGUGUUUGAUGCUGAGAUAAAUUUCAAGAAGUAGGGUGCUUUCGUAAAUUCACUCUGGCUAUCUACUCCGAUUUCAGAGCCAGAGCGCAGGAUAACCGAUUCAUUUACGAACGCUCAACACCAAUUGAAUAUGGCCGGUGUCAGUGAAGUCGGCAAAAGGCGUAAUUAAAAUGUUGCCAGCAGCAGUUACAGUCACCAACGCGCUAGAUAACAUGAAAACACCCUAACCAGCUCUGCAAGGGCGAGUACAAAUUGUGUAUGGAAGUAGCUAGCCCACGUUAGCGUUGGGUGCUUGACUGCGGUUGUGAGGAUCAACCCUACUCCUCCGCCACAGCAUCCAGUGUGCGCUCUGAACAACGCUCUGCAUUUAUGAAUGGACAAUCUGACAAAGCUCUGAUUUUACGCAUGCCCAGAGGGCACUCUGUCACUCUAGAUUGAAUUUACGAACACACCCGUAUCUAAAAUAGGAGCUCUUUUGAUUAUUUUCAGUUGUUGUUGCCAUGACUCCACCUUCAAUGACUACUGUGAGGGGAGAUGGGGUGUCAGGGGCGCGUCUUGGCAGGAAGAGGAAAAACAUGACGUGCCGCACAGCUGUGUCUACACCAAGGGAGACCCGCCCGCCAUGAAAACAGCCAGUUGAGAUGUGUUCAUAAUCUCUGACUACCCUAGUCACACACAGGGCCGGGUUAGAGGGAUGGAGUGGUAUAAAUGUGAAAGGGAGGAGUGAAUGGCUUGAAGUGGCCGUAACGUUGCAGGCUAACUCAGUGCUGCUGCCUCUCAUUGGUUAACUCACGUUGAAGGCAUACCGGGGUACUGCAGGCUGCCAUUAGCAACUAAAUUAUCCUUAUAACUACUUCUGUGUGCGAUUUUAAAAUAAUCGGUUCAAGGACAUCUGAUUUAUUAGAAAUAACAAUUGGUAACAUGAUUGUCUUUGAAUGUUUUAUUUAUUUACACGAAGAUGAACAAUGAAGAUCGACUUUUUUUCCCCAUUUACUGCUUUCUGUUAACAAUGCCUGCAGUACCGCGGUCGGCCUUGAACUUCCGAGAGGGGGCAGUCGUUCGUUUGUCUCACAUGGGUGGGUUCCUCUGGUCCUCCCACACAAUAAAUACAAAACUCAGCUCCACCCCAGCCCAGACACAUCUGUCCGGUAAAAUAUAGAUGUCUUCUCUCCGAACGUUGCCUCACCUCUACAGAAAAAUGACCUGGUGAAAUCAUGUUUAAAUCAUGCAGCAAUUUCUCAAUAUGGAGCAAGAUUCCUGCCAAUAUUACUUUCCUGCCAAUAUUAUUGAUGAUACAAAAGAUAACAGUAGAGAGACGGAUUUACAGACAGAAUGUUCAUGCUUUUAUGUGUUCUAAGCUAUGGUGCCUGAGAAUACUGUCAUUCUAAUAAACUAUGGCUCUACUGUGUACUGUGAUUGUAAUACUGCCUCUCCACUGUCAUAUACUGUUUUAUACUCCUCUUCUGGACAAAGGCAUAUCUGUAUAAAGUCAGAGUUGUUGAUUAGACUGUCCCCAGGCAUUGCCUUGCUUUUGUCUAGUGUCUGUGACACAUUGGCUCUUGGUAUGAGGGCACAUUCAUAAUCUUACUAACGGCCUUGGAUGAAUAUUUUCCCUUUGGGGGGUCACAUGGGUGUCUUGUGAUUACUGGGAGCGGUGUGUAAAUGGUGGCAGAUAUCUGUUGACUAACCGUGUAGAUAAAUUGACAGAAAGUGCUAUAUCCAAAAGUACAGGCUGAAUAUAGCUUGGGUGUGUAGAUAUCACGGUGGGCUGAGCAAUAUUUUACUCUCUUAUCUUACAAACUGUCUAUAAAGAGACAGCAAAUAAUAAACUUGUCGGUUUCCCUAUCAAUCUUAACCUGUCGGGCACUUGGUUAUCACGACCAACACAGAGAGACAGCUGUGGGAUGCUUUCUUUGCCCCACCCAAACAGUGAAAGUGAUGUCAUUACUACUGCUUAUGCAAACCAGCUG